Molecule: long non-coding RNA, 278 nt
Filed under: Lathyrus oleraceus (garden pea)
Lineage: Eukaryota; Viridiplantae; Streptophyta; Magnoliopsida; Fabales; Fabaceae
Description: Pisum sativum (pea) long non-coding RNA (PSAT_LNC032454)
Source: RNAcentral
AUUUUUCAAACUUUUUAUUCACUUAAUUCUUGAGUUUCUCUUUAGAACAAUGCAAGUGUUGUCUUUUUUUUUUCAGUCUUAGAUCACUCGGGUAUCUUAGACUAUAUUUUUUUCUUUUCUCUUUUUUUUUUUAAUUUUUAUUUUUCUUUCUUUCUUCGCCUUUCUUUUACACGUAUCACCCCAAACUUGAAUUAUUGCACACUUUCAAGAAACACCACAUUCGUACUAAACAAGGGUAAGGAGUGUUUGGCCAAUGGUUUAUACAUGUGGUUGAAAAC